RNAcentral lists this ribosomal RNA (253 nucleotides) under uncultured bacterium. RNAcentral's name for it is "partial 16S ribosomal RNA". It matches the Rfam family "Bacterial small subunit ribosomal RNA", at positions 524 to 776 of the family's 1533-position model. The record is from RNAcentral.
UACGGAGGGUGCAAGCGUUAUCCGGAUUCACUGGGUUUAAAGGGUGCGUAGGCGGGCAUGUAAGUCCGUGGUGAAAUCUCCGAGCUUAACUCGGAAACUGCCAUGGAUACUAUGUGUCUUGAAUACUGUGGAGGUCAGCGGAAUAUGUCAUGUAGCGGUGAAAUACUUAGAUAUGACAUAGAACACCAAUUGCGAAGGCAGCUGGCUACACAAAUAUUGACACUGAGGCACGAAAGCGUGGGGAUCAAACAGG